GACGAACGCUGGCGGCGUGCUUAACACAUGCCAGUCGAACGGAAAGGCCAUGAUUUUGUGGGGUGCUCGAUUGGCGCACGGGGGAGUAAAACGUGAGUAACCCGCCCUUGACUUUCGGAUAACUCCAGGAAAAUGCGGCUAAUAUCCGGUAGGAGCUACUGCUGCAUGGUGGGGGAUGGAAAGAUUCGGCGGUUCGGGCUCGAAUGGAGGGUUAUGAGCUUGUUGGUGUGGUAGUGGCGUACCAAGGCUGUGACGGGUAGGCGGCCUUAGAGGGUGACCGGCGACAAGGGGACUGAGGGACGGCGCAGACGGCAACGGGAGGCAGCAGGGGGGAGUCUUGCACAGCGGGCGGAAGCCUGAUGCAGCGACGCCGCGUGCGGGAUGACGGCCUACGGGGGGUAAACCGCUUUCGACGUAGACGAGGCCGUAGUGACGGUAAUGGGUAAAGAAGCACCGGCUAACUACGUG
Molecule: ribosomal RNA, 468 nt
Filed under: uncultured bacterium
Lineage: Bacteria
Description: partial 16S ribosomal RNA
Rfam family: Bacterial small subunit ribosomal RNA
Source: RNAcentral